RNAcentral lists this ribosomal RNA (497 nucleotides) under uncultured bacterium. RNAcentral's name for it is "partial 16S ribosomal RNA". It matches the Rfam family "Bacterial small subunit ribosomal RNA", at positions 28 to 507 of the family's 1533-position model. The record is from RNAcentral.
GAUGAACGCUGGCGGCGUGCCUAAUACAUGCAAGUCGAGCGAACAGACGAGGAGCUUGCUCCUCUGACGUUAGCGGCGGACGGGUGAGUAACACGUGGAUAACCUACCUAUAAGCCUGGGAUAACUUCGGGAAACCGGAGCUAAUACCGGAUAAUAUAUUGAACCGCAUGGUUCAAUAGUGAAAGACGGUUUUGCUGUCACUUAUAGAUGGAUCCGCGCUGCAUUAGCUAGUUGUUAAGGUAACGGCUUACCAAGGCAACGAUGCGUAGCCGACCUGAGAGGGUGAUCGGCCACACUGGAACUGGGACACGGUCCAGACUCCUACGGGAGGCAGCAGUAGGGAAUCUUCCGCAAUGGGCGAAAGCCUGACGGAUCAACGCCGCGUGAGUGAUGAAGGUCUUCGGAUCGUAAAACUCUGUUAUUAGGGAAGAACAAAUGUGUAAGUAACUAUGCACGUCUUGACGGUACCUAAUCAGAAAGCCACGGCUAACUACGUG